UAACGACGCGGGCGGCGUCAUGUCUCGAACCUGGUCAGGUCUUGACGGAAGCAGCCAUAAGGGGCCGCUGACGAGCGUCCGCGUCGACCCUG
RNAcentral lists this signal recognition particle RNA (92 nucleotides) under Coriobacteriales bacterium. RNAcentral's name for it is "signal recognition particle sRNA small type". It matches the Rfam family "Bacterial small signal recognition particle RNA". From Rfam's summary of the family: The signal recognition particle (SRP) is a universally conserved ribonucleoprotein involved in the co-translational targeting of proteins to membranes. Archaeal SRP consists of a 7S RNA and homologues of the eukaryotic SRP19 and SRP54 proteins. The record is from RNAcentral. Lineage: Bacteria; Bacillati; Actinomycetota; Coriobacteriia; Coriobacteriales.